Passer domesticus (house sparrow) is the source of this 463-nucleotide long non-coding RNA. RefSeq lists it as uncharacterized. The record is from RefSeq and is a predicted model, not a curated record. The transcript is spliced from 3 exons. Lineage: Eukaryota; Metazoa; Chordata; Aves; Passeriformes; Passeridae.
AUCUGCCCUCAUGGAGCUUGACUGGGUUCACAUCCUGGAGCAGCCUUAGAGAAUGGAGAGAUCUCUACAGAAAUAGUUAUCUAUUUUGUCAGUCACUGAUACUUCUAUUCUCCAAAAUCCUUGGAUGCAAAAUAUCCCUGGCCCUCAUUAUUUCUGCUCUUUCUCAUCUUCAUCUAUCAACAGUAUAUUUCAGAAAUAAGCGGCUCUUCCAGAACACAGGUAGGAGCACCCUAGGCAGGUCAAGGGAGAUGCUUCUUCCCCUCUACUCUGCUCUUGUGAAACCCCACCUGGAGUGCUGCAUCAGCUCUCAGGCCCCCAAAAUAAGAUGGAUGUGGAUCUGUUGGAAUGGGUCCAUAGAAGGGCCAUGAAAAUGAUCAAAAGCCUGGGCUGCCUCUCCUGUGAGGACAGGCUGGGAAAAGAAGGCUCCAGGGAGAUCUUACAACUCCUUCCAGUACCUGAAGGU